Molecule: long non-coding RNA, 560 nt
Organism: Aedes aegypti (yellow fever mosquito)
Lineage: Eukaryota; Metazoa; Arthropoda; Insecta; Diptera; Culicidae
Exons: 2
Source: RefSeq, a predicted model, not a curated record
CGUGUUUGAUUUCGAUUUGCCGUCAAAAUUGAAAAAAUAAAAUAAAAAUAAACCGCCGGGAGUUGUGAGAAGAAAAUUUGGCUCCUUUGUGUAAACGUAGGAAAGAAUCGUUUAUGUGGAGAUGUCCGCCCUGAUCCAGCACCAGAUUGCAAAACUAUUGACAGGAAAAAACCUUGAUGCACUCUCCAUCAAUGCGGGGGAGUGCGCCUGCUGCAAGGAACUCGUUUUCAAGUUAGCGAAGGAAGGUAUCCGGAAGCAGAAACAUAAGCUGGGAGUGCUAGCUGAAUCGCGACACCCCCUUCAAGCGAACAUAUCGGUAAGCUAGUUUCGUGAUCGGGACUCGGUGCACAAAAUCUUCGUGUUUCCGUUACUUUUUGUGCUGAAAUUGCAGCUGCAGUAACACCAGCGAAAAGCCGGAUGUAUGACAGAUCGGCGAAUUGGGAGCUAUCAGCAAUGUUUCGCCGCCCCGCGUUCAUCAAAUCAGUGUAUAGUAAAACAUGAAAAUUUAUGUGAAAAUAGUAAAACGAAUGUUACCAAUAACAAAACAAAUUCAAUCAUAA